This 214-nucleotide long non-coding RNA is filed under the name Mytilus galloprovincialis (Mediterranean mussel). Lineage: Eukaryota; Metazoa; Mollusca; Bivalvia; Mytilida; Mytilidae. The record is from RNAcentral.
UCAUUGCCGGACACAUAAUUUAUUUGAAAAUUAAGGUCUUUCCGAAUCGACUUGACUUGCACAGAAAUGUUUGCCACUGGUCUUUACUCAAACAACGAUUCACUCAUAAAUGCAUUACUUAAAAAGUGUGAGGUAAAUGUAUUGUUUGUCUAGUACAUGUAUCUCGGAUCCGUUAAAUUACCCUUAAAACUAAAAAAAAAACAUUACCCCCUCC